CCAGCUGAGUGUGUAAUGAAGUUAAAAUAUCGCAUGUAAAUCAGAGGUGAUUUCCAGGCAUGUUUUCACUCUGCAGAUAUAAUAACAGUCAACACACUCUUCUAUUGGCUCCAGUCACACCAACAUUGAUGUUUGAUUGCAUGCAAACUCAGUGAGCUUCCUUGUUCCUCAGCUAUAAAAACUUCACAUCAGGCUGUCAGUGGAGUUCACAGCACGUCAGUUUCAACAUAAACCAUGUUUUCUGUAGCUCUGCUGCUGCUGUUGGCAGCUGGAUGUGUGAAGUGUGAACAGUUGACACAGUCAGCCUCUGUGACUGUGCAGCCAGGUCAACGUCUGACCAUCACCUGUCAGGUCUCUUAUUCUCUGAGCAGCUACUACACAGCUUGGAUCAGACAGCCUGCAGGGAAAGGACUGGAGUGGAUGAGUGCGGAUACAAACGUCAAAGAUUUUCUUAAAGAAAAGUUCAGUGUUAACUUGGACUCUUCCAGCAAAACAGUGACUCUAAAUGGACAGAAUAUGCAGCCUGAAGACUCUGCUGUGUAUUUCUGUGCCAGAGACUCACAGUAACACAAACCAUCAGUGGAGCUGAACAAAAACCCCUCAGUGCCUGAACACUUGGAACAUGAAGCCACCAGAGGAGGAGCCCUCAGACCACUAAUGAUUUCAGUUCGUUGUUUAAGAGUUCACUGUUAAAGAGACAGAUAAAGCAGGGGAACAGUAUAAAGGAAUAUAACAUUGAUUAUUAUCAUAUACAGUGUAAAUAAUAUUAAAUAUACAGUGGAGGAUUUUUUUAAAAAGUAUCUUUUCUGUUUGACCGCACAAUAAGAAGGUAAAUUGAUAACAACAGUAUUUCAGCUCACAAAUGUGCUUUGAAAAGUUCU
Scatophagus argus is the source of this 881-nucleotide non-coding RNA. Lineage: Eukaryota; Metazoa; Chordata; Actinopteri; Scatophagidae. The record is from the annotation of a RefSeq genome assembly.